AUACCUACCUGGCAGAGAAAGCAUUGUGACCAGUAAGAUGGUUUUUGUUGGGUAAGGCUUAUCUGUUAUACUCUGUGUGUAUUGGUCUUUUAUAGUUUCCUCAAACUGGGAGAAGCCUGACUGUGUAAUUUGUGGUAGGGGAGAGAUGUUUGUAUGUUUAUGCU
This 164-nucleotide small nuclear RNA is filed under the name Microcebus murinus (gray mouse lemur). RNAcentral's name for it is "U1 spliceosomal RNA (ENSMICG00000018260.3)". It matches the Rfam family "U1 spliceosomal RNA". From Rfam's summary of the family: U1 is a small nuclear RNA (snRNA) component of the spliceosome (involved in pre-mRNA splicing). Its 5' end forms complementary base pairs with the 5' splice junction, thus defining the 5' donor site of an intron. The record is from RNAcentral. Lineage: Eukaryota; Metazoa; Chordata; Mammalia; Primates; Cheirogaleidae.